Molecule: small RNA, 161 nt
Filed under: Chrysemys picta bellii (western painted turtle)
Lineage: Eukaryota; Metazoa; Chordata; Testudines; Emydidae
Description: TUC338 (ENSCPBG00000001188.1)
Source: RNAcentral
AUGUUAGAAGUUUAUAACUGUAUUUACUCACAGGACAGGCAUGGGCAGCAGUAAUACAAGUUUAUCUACAUCAUUCCCACAGAGAGUCCCAACCCUGUUCUGGAGAGACCACCUCUAGAGGUUGAGAUGGUAAUAUAAUCUCUGUUCAGUUUUUAGCUUGC